Molecule: ribosomal RNA, 253 nt
Filed under: uncultured bacterium
Lineage: Bacteria
Description: partial 16S ribosomal RNA
Rfam family: Bacterial small subunit ribosomal RNA
Source: RNAcentral
UACGAAGGGUGCAAGCGUUAAUCGGAAUUACUGGGCGUAAAGCGUGCGUAGGUGGUUUCUUAAGUCUGCUGUGAAAGCCCUGGGCUCAACCUGGGAAUGGCGGUGGAUACUGAGGAGCUAGAGUGCGGUAGAGGAGGGUGGAAUUCCCGGUGUAGCGGUGAAAUGCGUAGAGAUCGGGAGGAACAUCAGUGGCGAAGGCGGCCCUCUGGACCAGCACUGACGCUGAGGCACGAAAGCGUGGGGAGCGAACAGG